CUUCCCUCUUUUUCCAAAUCGUACCACACCUCUCCAAGGUGACAAUUUCAAAAACACCCAAUCGCCCACAUUAUACACUCGAUCAGUAGUAUGUCGAUCCGCUAAACUCUUCUGUCGAUCCUGGGCUGCUUUCAGGUUUGACUUAAUUACCUAAACAUUUUGAGUAGUCUCAUCUACAAUCUCUGGGCCUUCUAACACCCUUUCACCAAC
Molecule: long non-coding RNA, 210 nt
Filed under: Malus domestica (apple)
Lineage: Eukaryota; Viridiplantae; Streptophyta; Magnoliopsida; Rosales; Rosaceae
Description: long non-coding RNA (MDOM_LNC000674)
Source: RNAcentral